GCUUGUCUCAAAGAUUAAGCCAUGCAUGUCUUAGUGUAAAUAACUCUUAUGAAACUGCGAAUGGCUCAUUAAAUCAGUUAUCAAAUACGUGAUGGUCGCCUACUACAUGGAUAACCGUAGUAAUUCUAGAGCUAAUACAUGCACAAAGGCCCAUUCACGUGGGUUGUGAUUAUUAGAUUCAAACCGGCCUCGUUCUGGUGAGUCAUAAUAACUGUUCGAAUCGCAUGCUUCGGCAGGCGAUAGUUCAUUCAAAUUUCUGCCCUAUCAGCUUUCGACGGUAGUGUAGUGGACUACCGUGGCGUUAACGGGUAACGGAGAAUUAGGGUUCGAUUCCGGAGAGGGAGCCUGAGAAAUGGCUACCACAUCCAAGGAAGGCAGCAGG
RNAcentral lists this ribosomal RNA (382 nucleotides) under uncultured Cryptomonas. Its description in RNAcentral is "partial small subunit ribosomal RNA". It matches the Rfam family "Eukaryotic small subunit ribosomal RNA", at positions 30 to 432 of the family's 1831-position model. Lineage: Eukaryota; Cryptophyceae; Cryptomonadales; Cryptomonadaceae. The record is from RNAcentral.